ACUCUAGAGGGACUGCCGGCGACGAAGUCGGAGGAAGGUGGGGAUGACGUCAAAUCAUCAUGCCCCUUAUGACCUGGGCUACACACGUGCUACAAUGGGCGGUACAAAGGGCUGCGAACCCGCGAGGGGGAGCGAAUCCCAAAAAGCCGCUCUCAGUUCGGAUUGCAGGCUGCAACUCGCCUGCAUGAAGCCGGAAUCGCUAGUAAUCGCGGAUCAGCAUGCCGCGGUGAAUACGUUCCCGGGCCUU
RNAcentral lists this ribosomal RNA (247 nucleotides) under uncultured Geobacillus sp. RNAcentral describes it as "partial 16S ribosomal RNA". It matches the Rfam family "Bacterial small subunit ribosomal RNA", at positions 1137 to 1382 of the family's 1533-position model. The record is from RNAcentral. Lineage: Bacteria; Bacillati; Bacillota; Bacilli; Caryophanales; Anoxybacillaceae.